RNAcentral lists this ribosomal RNA (486 nucleotides) under uncultured bacterium. RNAcentral's name for it is "partial 16S ribosomal RNA". It matches the Rfam family "Bacterial small subunit ribosomal RNA", at positions 30 to 507 of the family's 1533-position model. The record is from RNAcentral.
AUUGAACGCUGGCGGCAUGCCUUACACAUGCAAGUCGAACGGCAGCACGGGUGCUUGCACCUGGUGGCGAGUGGCGAACGGGUGAGUAAUACAUCGGAACAUGUCCUGUAGUGGGGGAUAGCCCGGCGAAAGCCGGAUUAAUACCGCAUACGAUCUACGGAUGAAAGCGGGGGACCUUCGGGCCUCGCGCUAUAGGGUUGGCCGAUGGCUGAUUAGCUAGUUGGUGGGGUAAAGGCCUACCAAGGCGACGAUCAGUAGCUGGUCUGAGAGGACGACCAGCCACACUGGGACUGAGACACGGCCCAGACUCCUACGGGAGGCAGCAGUGGGGAAUUUUGGACAAUGGGCGAAAGCCUGAUACAGCAAUGCCGCGUGUGUGAAGAAGGCCUUCGGGUUGUAAAGCACUUUUGUCCGGAAAGAAAUCCUUGGCCCUAAUACGGUCGGGGGAUGACGGUACCGGAAGAAUAAGCACCGGCUAACUACGUG